GACGAACGCUGGCGGCGUGCCUAAUACAUGCAAGUAGAACGCUGAAGGAGGAGCUUGCUUCUCUGGAUGAGUUGCGAACGGGUGAGUAACGCGUAGGUAACCUGCCUGGUAGCGGGGGAUAACUAUUGGAAACGAUAGCUAAUACCGCAUAAUAUUGACUAUUGCAUGAUAGUCAGUUGAAAGGUGCAACUGCACCACUACCAGAUGGCCCUGCGUUGUAUUAGCUAGUUGGUGGGGUAACGGCUCACCAAGGCGACGAUACAUAGCCGACCUGAGAGGGUGAUCGGCCACACUGGGACUGAGACACGGCCCAGACUCCUACGGGAGGCAGCAGUAGGGAAUCUUCGGCAAUGGACGGAAGUCUGACCGAGCAACGCCGCGUGAGUGAAGAAGGUUUUCGGAUCGUAAAGCUCUGUUGUAAGAGAAGAACGAGUGUGAGAGUGGAAAGCUCACACUGUGACGGUAUCUUACCAGAAAGGGACGGCUAACUACGUG
This 495-nucleotide ribosomal RNA is filed under the name uncultured bacterium. RNAcentral's name for it is "partial 16S ribosomal RNA". It matches the Rfam family "Bacterial small subunit ribosomal RNA", at positions 28 to 507 of the family's 1533-position model. The record is from RNAcentral.